CUUUUCCUGCGUUGCACCCUCGCCGCCACUCCCUUUUCUUUUCCCACUCUCUGCUUCCUCUCGUUGUGCGUGUCUGUGCACCACAGAUCAGCUGUCUAUCGGUGACUUCCAAGAAUCUUCUGAACGUUUCCGAUACCCUCCCUCUCCACACACACACACACACACACGCACACACACACAAACUCCACCACCACUACCAGCAAGGCAUCGACACCGUUUGCGUAUCUCCUCGCUUCUUCCCUUGCUUCCCGUUAAAAUUCAAGACAAGAAGCAAUGCAGGCCUACACACAACUGGAGAAGCUCUGCCAGAAGGUGUACAGAUUGGCGCACCUUCUGUCUCUCGGCGCUUGGGAUUCCAAGACUAUGAUGCCCUCAAAGGGCGCAGCUGCCCGCGGUGCCGCCCUCGGCGAGCUCUACGGACUCAUCGCUGAGAUGAUCACCAGCCCGAGCACGAAGGCGCUGCUGGACGAAGCAGAGACGGCCAAGGCCGAGCUCACUACUGUCCAGCAGGCGAACUUGCGCGAGCUCCGCCGCAUGUACACCUCUCAAGCAGCGCUACCGACCGAGUUCAGUGUGCUCAAGACCAAGCUUUCGUCAACUACUCCGCUUAUCUGGGCUAAGUGCCGCAGCAACAACGACUUUGCGACUUUCCUGCCGGCGCUGAAGGAGAUGAUUGCGCUUGCGCGCAGGGAGGCGCAGUAUCGCUCUACUGCGACGGGCAAGCCUCUGUACGAGGCCCUGUUCAACCAGUACGAGAGCGGCAUGACGCUGGAGACGCUGGAAAAAAUCUUGCUCGAUGUGAAGUCGUGGCUGCCGGAGCUGCUGCAGAAGAUCCUGGCUGCACAGAGGGACGCGGGGCUGGAGGUGGUUGCGCCUGAGGCGCCCUUUCCCAAGGACAAGCAGGAGGCUCUUAGCCGCCACCUCAUGGAGGUGUGGGGCUUCGACUUCGAGUCAGGUCGGCUGGACGUCUCUGAGCACCCGUUUAUGGGCAUGGUAAAGGAAGACUCGCGCAUCACUACCGCCUACGACCUGCAGGACUUCACCAAGGGGCUCUUCGCGACGAUCCACGAGACGGGCCACUCCAAGUACGAGACGAACUGCGGCCCGGUGGAGAUGCGCGGCCAGCCGGUGUGCGAGGCACGCUCGAUGACGAUCCACGAGAGCCAGUCGCGCUUUGCCGAGGUUGUGAUUGGCCACUCCAGCGCCUUCUUGGAGUUCCUCGUUCCACUGCUGAAGGAAUACCUCGGUGAUCAGCCCGCAUUCUCUCGGGAGAACGUGCGGCUGAUGAACCAGACGGUGAAGCCUGGCUUCAUCCGGAUCCGGGCGGAUGAGGUGUGCUACCCGCUGCACAUCUUGCUGCGCUACGAGAUAGAGCGUGCACUCAUCGAGGGCACGAUGGAGGCAGAAGACAUCCCUCGCGUGUGGAACGAGAAGAUGAAGGCAUACCUGGGCCUGGAGACGGAGGGCCGCGACGAGAUUGGCUGCCUGCAGGACAUUCACUGGUCGAUGGGCGCCUUUGGCUACUUCCCGACGUACUCGCUUGGCUCCAUGUUCGCGGCGCAGCUGAUGGCGACGAUCAAGAAUGAGCUCGGUGAGGAUACAGUGGACAAGUGCAUCCGCACUGGCCAGAUGGAGCCGAUCUUUGAGAAGCAGAGGGAGAAGAUCUGGAGCCAGGGAUGCCUCUACAACACGGAAGACCUGAUUGUCAAGGCGACCGGCGAAGCGCUGAACCCCAAGUACUUUCGCGAGUACCUGGAACGCCGCUACCUGCGCCAGGAGGACUGACCGAGGCGCUACGCUCCGCCAUUUCUACCGCAGUCAAAGGGGCAAGCAAUUCCAAAUGGAUGAACAGCAUGCGGUCGGACCGAGCGCUAGGCAGACUUCAAGAAAGCGCCAGAGGGCUGGCAGGGCUACAAACACCCUUACCAACUUCCUGCCGGUACACGGGCACACGUGCACAUGGUCAUUGCCCUGCGUGUGUCUGUCUGUCUGAAAGGAGUCCGACCCUCCCUGUUUCUCCUUUUUCGAGGGUGCUGCUCUUCAGCUGUGCGGCAUCUUAUCGAGCGCAGCGGUCUCUCUCUCUCUGUGCCCGCUUCAUGAGUCUGCAACCGCCGCUAACACGAAAGAAAAUAAUAGCACAUGCGAUACCGAACGGUGACUCAUGCACACGUUGCCUUCCGAGGAGCCGAGAGGACGAGCCCCGCAGGGGAAAAUGACCGUGGGUGAAGGGCGGGCAAGGGGAGGGGAGGGGGGACGCGAUUCUCCACGCCCACCUAUACGCGUAUGUGAAGUGUGAAGAAGUGUUGUACAAGGUCUGAUCCCCACACCUCGGCUGUCGCGCACCCCUCCCCCUGCCCGCCCUCGGCCACGCUCUCCAGGAUGACCGUCUCUCUCUCUCUUGAUCUCUCCUUCAUCCAACUAGUGCAAUAAGCGUGCCCACCUGACAGACGACUUGUGUGCGUCUUCGUUUCUGUUUUCCCUUUUAUUUCGAUUUCGCAGAGUAUUUCGUUUUCUAUCACCUCUUGGUGCUUCUUCUGUUGUGUAAACAACUGGCGAGCGACACCGCUGCACUGCUGGGUGCAAGAGAGGGAAGAGAAGGGGAGGGGUGCGCUAAAGGGCCUCGCAGCGCUUGUGUGCGCGUGCGGUGUCUGGCUGCCCUUCUCUCUCUUCCUCCUCCCUGUGUACCGCCGAUGCUUUGACGCUCUCUCUUUUCUUCCUCCCGUGCACAUUUGUAUACCGCUCUGUGCCAUCAACACACAGUGGUGAAGUGCGCACACGUGCAACACGCACGUGUGACGUACAUUGGGCUGUGCGUGGCACGCGUGUGGGUUUCCUUUGCGCUUCGCAUAUCUUACGCUUCCUUCGUCCAUUUCUCCUCCUCUCAGGUAGGCGCAUACAUGCAUACAUGUAUAUAUGCAUCUCUCUCUCUACACUACGGUAUAGGCGUACGCAAGGAGGGUCAAUGAUGAUCAGUCUUGCCUCUCUCCCCCUCUUCCUCUUUUUCUUCCUUCUCACCGCCAG
This 3021-nucleotide unclassified non-coding RNA is filed under the name Leishmania donovani. RNAcentral describes it as "gene:LdHU3.13.0120(CDS-product:carboxypeptidase_p utative)". The record is from RNAcentral. Lineage: Eukaryota; Euglenozoa; Kinetoplastea; Trypanosomatida; Trypanosomatidae.